RNAcentral lists this ribosomal RNA (497 nucleotides) under uncultured bacterium. RNAcentral's name for it is "partial 16S ribosomal RNA". It matches the Rfam family "Bacterial small subunit ribosomal RNA", at positions 28 to 507 of the family's 1533-position model. The record is from RNAcentral.
GAUGAACGCUGGCGGCGUGCCUAAUACAUGCAAGUCGAGCGGACGGACGAGAAGCUUGCUUCUCUGUUGUUAGCGGCGGACGUGUGAGUAACACGUGGAUCACCCACCUAUCAGACUGGGAUCACUUCGGGAAACCGGCGCUAAUACCGGAUAAUAUUUUGAACCGCAUGGUUCAAAAGUGAAUUACGGUCUUGCUGUCACUUAUAGCUGGUUCCGCGCUGCAUUAGCUAGUUGGUAAGGUAACGGCUUACCAAGGCAACGAUGCGUAGCCGACCUGAGAGGGGGGUCGGCCACACGAGAAGGUGACCAGCGACAAGAGUACUGAGGGAGGGAGCAGUAGGGAAUGGUCCGCAAUGGGCGAAAGCAUGACGGAGCAAGGCCGCGUGAGUGAUGAAGGUCUUCGGAGCGUAAAAAUCGGUUAUGAGUUGAGAACAGAUGUGGAAGUAAACGUGGAGAGCGUGACGGUACCGAGUCAGGAAGCAACGGCUAACUACGUG